Molecule: ribosomal RNA, 479 nt
Filed under: uncultured bacterium
Lineage: Bacteria
Description: bacterial SSU rRNA
Rfam family: Bacterial small subunit ribosomal RNA
Source: RNAcentral
UGAACGCUAGCGGCAGGCCUAAUACAUGCAAGUCGAGGGGUAACAUGAGAGCUUGCUCUUGAUGACGACCGGCGCACGGGUGCGUAACGCGUAUGCAACCUACCUAUAACAGGGGGAUAGCCCGGAGAAAUCCGGAUUAAUACCCCAUAAUGCAGGGGUACUACCUGGUACUAUUUGCUAAAGAUUUAUCGGUUAUAGAUGGGCAUGCGUCUGAUUAGAUUGUUGGUGAGGUAACGGCUCACCAAGUCGACGAUCAGUAGGGGGUCUGAGAGGAUGAUCCCCCACACUGGCACUGAGAUACGGGCCAGACUCCUACGGGAGGCAGCAGUAGGGAAUAUUGGGCAAUGGAGGCAACUCUGACCCAGCCAUGCCGCGUGAAGGAUGAAGGCCUUCUGGGUUGUAAACUUCUUUUAUAUAGGAAGAAAAAGGUCAUGCGUGACCAAUUGACGGUACUAUAUGAAUAAGCACCGGCUAACUCC